AGCUGUCACGCCUGCCUAUGCACGCGACAGCUGUUCCCCUCUGGAGGUUUUAACCUUCAAACUCAUUGGCCGCGGAGAAAUCCGGCGGCCAUUUUU
RNAcentral lists this small RNA (96 nucleotides) under Agrobacterium tumefaciens 5A. RNAcentral's name for it is "Alphaproteobacterial ar15". It matches the Rfam family "Alphaproteobacterial ar15". The record is from Rfam by way of RNAcentral. Lineage: Bacteria; Pseudomonadati; Pseudomonadota; Alphaproteobacteria; Hyphomicrobiales; Rhizobiaceae.